AAAGGAGGAAGAAAGGGGGGAGAAAGAGGGGAAAAGAAGCGGGAGGAGAGCGAAGAGAAACAGAACGAGGGGGGGCGAACACAAAGGGGAGGGGGAGGUUGGGAAUUUUCCGCAAUGGGGGGAAGCUUGCGGGAGCAAUUCCGCGUGAGGGAGGAGGGCUCUUGGGUUGUAAACCUCUUUUCUCAAGGAAGAACACAAUGACGGUACUUGAGGAAUCAGCAUCGGCUAACUCCGUGCCAGCAGCCGCGGUAAUACGGAGGAUGCAAGCGUUAUCCGGAAUGAUUGGGCGUAAAGCGUCCGCAGGUGGUGAUGUAAGUCUGCUGUUAAAGAGUGAGGCUCAACCUCAUAAAAGCAGUGGAAACUACAUGACUAGAGUGCGUUCGGGGCAGAGGGAAUUCCUGGUGUAGCGGUGAAAUGCGUAGAUAUCAGGAAGAACACCGGUGGCGAAAGCGCUCUGCUAGGCCGCAACUGACACUGAGGGACGAAAGCUAGGGGAGCGAAUGGGAUUAGAUACCCCAGUAGUCCUAGCCGUAAACGAUGGAUACUAGGCGUGGCUUGUAUCGACCCGAGCCGUGCCGUAGCUAACGCGUUAAGUAUCCCGCCUGGGGAGUACGCACGCAAGUGUGAAACUCAAAGGAAUUGACGGGGGCCCGCACAACCGGUGGAGUAUGUGGUUUAAUUAGAUGCAACGCGAAGAACCUUCCAGGACUUACAUGUCGGGAACUUUCCCUA
Molecule: ribosomal RNA, 732 nt
Filed under: Dolichospermum circinale Ab-NE-B5
Lineage: Bacteria; Bacillati; Cyanobacteriota; Cyanophyceae; Nostocales; Aphanizomenonaceae
Description: bacterial SSU rRNA
Rfam family: Bacterial small subunit ribosomal RNA
Source: RNAcentral